RNAcentral lists this ribosomal RNA (1648 nucleotides) under Triticum aestivum (bread wheat). Its description in RNAcentral is "partial small subunit ribosomal RNA". The record is from RNAcentral. Lineage: Eukaryota; Viridiplantae; Streptophyta; Magnoliopsida; Poales; Poaceae.
AAAUAAUCUAACCCUAAGCCUCUCCCUGCCCCAUCUCGUUCUCCCUCCGCCGCCGCCCCCAUAAUCUUCUUCCUCUCCCCGAUCCACUCCUUUGGGUCCUCCGCACACCCACCGCUCCGAUCGGCUCUCCUACACACCAUCGUCCCAAUCCCCACCUCCUUGUCCCAAUCCCCACGUCCCCGGCCUCUCCAAUCCUUCCUCCACUCUCAGUUCGACGGCGCCAGCAGCCUGAGUGAUGAGAUCCGCUUCUUGGGCGCGCGCAGAUCCAGCAUGGGCUCAACCCCCGAUGUUGGCCUUGUCGGAGCAGGGCGACCGUGUGGUCGCCGGUCUAGACAAUGGCUCGCGGGAUUCCGGUGUGGCUCCCGUCCCUUCUGUUGGCUUCCUCGACACCAUGGCCUCAUGAUGCUGCUUCGACCACAGGGUACCCAAUAGAGACAGAAGGCACAUGUUUGUCAACCAGCUGCACUAUGAUAUGUGGGCUUCUAUCUAGAUCUAAUUUAGUUUAGUUUUCUACCAAGAUCUAAUUUAGAUUAAUUUUCUACCAAGAUCUAAUUCUGUUUAAAUUUUUCUAACAGUUUGAUGUAUCUUUGUUCUCUAAAUAAAUAUAAUUAGCUGUUCUAUAUGCAUUCAGUUUAGUUUUCUAUCAAAAUAUAAUUCUGUAUGAAUCAAUGUAAUCAAGUGGUGAAUAAUUUCAUCAAAUAGAGACAUGAUUUCUGUUACUGUAUUAAUAUGGCGACAUGUUCUUUUUAAAGUUUUCUCCACACACUUCUGUCCAUAUUGGCAACUGCAGCUCACUGAAUACAUAUUACGAGAAUUAUGUUUAAUCUAAAUAUAAGAAGAAAAUUACAUCGGUACAAUGUGGCAGUCCUACAGUUAUAAUAUAGAGAUUUAAACCUAUUCAUUUUUGUACUAAUUACAUGUAGUCCUGCCAUCGUUAGUUGUGCGCCUACUAGUACUAGAACCAAUGCCACGUUAGUUCACUCUCCCUCAACUGGAGGCACACAGCAAGCUAGCAGUUGCUAAAACAGUGAGACACAUUUCUUCUUCAACUCGUGUGCUCCCUGCCUCCAAGCCUGGCCGCCCUCUGCAAUAGUUUUGUCGACAAGUAGUGAUGUCUACUGUCUGAUCCUAAAUCUUUUCCCUGAUGUUUUCCCAUCUUUUUCUUGAUUAUGAUCUCUGUUUUUUGGGAUGUAGGUUUAGGUGGUGCUGUAGCAGCCGUGCCGCUGCAUGGCGCACAAUAGAGCUCGAGAGGGUGACCGCGAUAAAUUUGGUGGAGCUGCUCCGUGAUGAACCAGGGGUUGGUUCUCUACUACCAGUCCUAUCAUUUCUCCGUGAUGAACCAGGGGUAUGAUUAGGUAGCGGGCUUCUUGGUGCUGGCCAUCACAAUCCGCCAUGACAUGAUCCUUACCAUCAGGAGGGCUGACGACAAAAACUUGAAUAACAACCUUAGUAGUAUCAUAUGUUCUAUCGUUGUAAAUUGGAUUAUACUGGUUCCUAGUGUUGUUCUGGGAUAUUUUGUGAAUAUAUUCUGUAAGUUAUCAUUACAUGCAGGAUUUUGUAAGCUGAUGCGGUGUAGAUACCAAUGGAUAGCUGCAUAUUGAAUAUCCGUGUAAUAUAUGAUCAUACUUUGGAAAUAUUUCGCUUUGGC